AGCAUCCCUGGAACGCGUAUGGCGCGGAGAUAGGGGCGGUGGUCGCGAGGAGCACCGGUCGUCGGCGGUGUACGGGUCUCCUCCCUCGGACCGUGAAAAUCCCGGCUGAGGCUCCUGGUUCGGUGGUUUCCGAAGCCGGUUCGUACCGAGUAUCCGCAGCAGGUCUCCUAGGUGAACAGCCUCUGGUCACGUGGAACAAUGUAGGUAAGGGAACUCGGCAAACUCGAUCCGUAACUUCGGGACAAGGAUUGGCUCUGAGGAUCGAGGCCGGUCUGGCCGGGCGGCCGCAGCGCCUUCCGUGCGGGCGGGCAACCGUUCGCGGGGACCGUCCGCCGGGGCCGCGGCCGCGUCACUCCUGACGCCGGCCGGACGCGCCGUCNNNNNNNNNNCCCCGCCGGCGUUAUCCGCGGCAGAAGGGGCCGGCCAACCCCGGGAGGUCCGCGGGGCGGCGCUCGCCCGGCGCUCUCGGGCGUCGGGCCGCGGCGCUGCCCCGUCUCCCAAACGCUCUGCGCUCGCUUGCCCUCGCGGGCGGCGGCCGGGCAAAUUAACGACCGCGCCAACAAACCCUGGUCGUGCUCAGAACUGUUCUCGGACCCGGGGAAUCCGACUGUUUAAUUAAAACAGAGCAUCGUGAAGGCCGCACAUUACCGGCGUAGACGCGAUGUGAUUUCUGCCCAGUGCUCUGAAUGUCAACGUGAAGAGAUUCAAGCAAGCGCGGGUAAACGGCAGGAGUAACUAUGACUCUUUUAAGGUAGCCAAAUGCCUCGUCAUCCAAUUAGUGACGCGCAUGAAUGGAUCAACGAGAUUCCCUCUGCUUCUGUCCCUAUCUACUAGUGUCUUCGCGACUCCCGUAGAGAGCGGACGUGCGCAGCUUUU
This 876-nucleotide non-coding RNA is filed under the name Gossypium hirsutum (cotton). Its description in RNAcentral is "Eukaryotic large subunit ribosomal RNA". It matches the Rfam family "Eukaryotic large subunit ribosomal RNA", at positions 1713 to 2396 of the family's 3401-position model. Lineage: Eukaryota; Viridiplantae; Streptophyta; Magnoliopsida; Malvales; Malvaceae. The record is from Rfam by way of RNAcentral.